RNAcentral lists this long non-coding RNA (1621 nucleotides) under Mus musculus (house mouse). RNAcentral describes it as "long non-coding RNA chr15:27503911-27505532". The record is from RNAcentral. Lineage: Eukaryota; Metazoa; Chordata; Mammalia; Rodentia; Muridae.
GAGGGCUGUCGUUAUGUGAUUUAUGGUCUUCAUUUGGCACCAUCUGCGUCUGAGAGGGAAGCUGUGAGUCUGCACCUAGCUGUGCUCCGAGAUGAUUGCCAAGAUGUCUCCAGUGUUACAUGUAACUCUUCCCUCAACGCAUAAACUCUUCUGCUAGCCUGGGCUCAUGGGACAAGAGCUCUCCUAAUGCCCGGCCCUAUCAGAACUACAAUAUUGCCUGUGGCUGGCCUCAGGAUCCUGCCAACUCCUGCUGUUUACACACACCAAUCAGGCCAGAAUAACCCAAGGUGGGCACAACAGGGGAUGACAGGAAUAGGACGGAAGGAAAGUGUGCCCACCACCCCCUAAAGGAGGCCAAACCAAACUUCUCUAGGCUGUGGGGGCAGGAAGUGGCUGAGAAGAAAUUCCCUGACGGCUUGGGCUGUGUAAACAUUGCGGGUUGAGAGUGUGUGUGUGUAUGUGUGUGUACGUGCCUUAGAGAUAAAGAGCGACUUCACUAACUUAUAAAAAUAACUGAGUGUAACAGAAGUAGACGAAUAGCAACAGAUCCAGGCAAGGAAGGGAGACGCUGUCAGGAGUUCGGUGAUGGAGGCCUCCUGACCCAGAAUACCUCUACUCUGGCCACUUUUGCCAGCUCCGUCCAGAGAAGCCAAGCUGGCACUGGUUAGGCAGAGGUGAUUCGCCACUUUGCCUAUAGCUUGUAGCCUGCUUAGCACUCUGAAGCCACUUGGUUUUAGGACAGCCUGGGCUAUAUAACAAAACUCAAUCAUAAGAACGCAGGUACCCGCCUGUCUCACUCUCAGUAUUGGGGACAUGCCUCCAUUUCUGGUCUCAUUGUGUUGGACCCUGGAGAUCAAAUCCUUAUAUGGGUAUGGCUUUAUCAACUGAGCUAGCUCUCCAGCCCUAAUUAGUAUUUUUAAUUAAAAAAAUUGCUUUGUUUUAUGUGUUUGAGCAUUUUACCUGCAUGUAUAUAUGUGUACCACAGGUCAUAUGAUGGCAGUCAUAUGAUGAAGGCAUUAACCCCCUGGGACCAUAGUUACAAAGGUAGUUACAAACAAAGCAAAAGUUUUCUUUGUUUUGUGAGCUACUAUGUGGGUGCUGGGUCCAAGACCAGGUCCUCUGAAAGAGCAACAAGCACUCUUAACCGCUCUCCACCCUCCGUUAGUAUUUAAAUACUCGCUGGCCAUUUAUAAAGAGCCAGAAACAGUCUUUAAAAAUGCUUCAGUUCCACUGCGAUCGUCCCACCUGAAUUUUAGUGUCUAUAUUUCACGUGAGUGUGAUCAAAGUGAUGAGGCCCGAUCCUGCUGAAAGGCACCAGUGUGACCGAGGAUGGAAUUGGCAGUGUGAUGUCCAACUCGGGAGACCUUGAGCAGGUGUGGGAGCGCGGAGGAGAAAGGUGAUGGGGGAGCUGUGUCAGCUCUGAAGAGCACUUGUUGUUCUUCCAGAGGACUUGAGUUCAGUUCCCAGCACCCAUGUCAGGCAGUUCACAACCGGCUGUGACUCCAGCUCUAGUGGAUCCAAACGGUCUAUUCUGUCUGCGGGAACCUUAACUCACAUUUGCGUACUCACAUGCAAAUACAUACACCUACCCACCAUUAAAAAUAAUACUAAAAGUAAAUCU